Molecule: transfer RNA, 72 nt
Filed under: Rudarius ercodes (whitespotted pygmy filefish)
Lineage: Eukaryota; Metazoa; Chordata; Actinopteri; Tetraodontiformes; Monacanthidae
Description: tRNA-Val
Rfam family: tRNA
About the family: Transfer RNA (tRNA) molecules are approximately 80 nucleotides in length. Their secondary structure includes four short double-helical elements and three loops (D, anti-codon, and T loops).
Source: RNAcentral
CAGAGUAUAGCUUAAGUAGAAAAGCAUCUCCCUUACACUGAGAAGCUAUCCGUGCAAAUCGGUUUACUCUGA